UGGAAUAUUUAUAACACACCCAAUAGGAAUCUGGGGUUGUGAUGAGGGGGAUAAAACUUGUGGCUUCCCUAUAAACAAAUUCUCUACAUGU
RNAcentral lists this small nucleolar RNA (91 nucleotides) under Otolemur garnettii (small-eared galago). RNAcentral's name for it is "Small nucleolar RNA SNORA11 (ENSOGAG00000034082.1)". It matches the Rfam family "Small nucleolar RNA SNORA11", at positions 36 to 129 of the family's 129-position model. From Rfam's summary of the family: U107 (SNORA11) is a member of the H/ACA class of snoRNAs that guide the sites of modification of uridines to pseudouridines. This snoRNA was identified by RT-PCR from blood cells and its expression confirmed by Northern blot analysis. There is no predicted target for this guide snRNA. The record is from RNAcentral. Lineage: Eukaryota; Metazoa; Chordata; Mammalia; Primates; Galagidae.